Molecule: ribosomal RNA, 497 nt
Filed under: uncultured bacterium
Lineage: Bacteria
Description: partial 16S ribosomal RNA
Rfam family: Bacterial small subunit ribosomal RNA
Source: RNAcentral
GACGAACGCUGGCGGCGUGCCUAAUACAUGCAAGUUGAGCGCUGAAGGUUGGUACUUGUACCAACUGGAUGAGCAGCGAACGGGUGAGUAACGCGUGGGGAAUCUGCCUUUGAGCGGGGGACAACAUUUGGAAACGAAUGCUAAUACCGCAUAAAAACUUUAAACACAAGUUUUAAGUUUGAAAGAUGCAAUUGCAUCACUCAAAGAUGAUCCCGCGUUGUAUUAGCUAGUUGGUGAGGUAAAGGCUCACCAAGGCGAUGAUACAUAGCCGACCUGAGAGGGUGAUCGGCCACAUUGGGACUGAGACACGGCCCAAACUCCUACGGGAGGCAGCAGUAGGGAAUCGUCGGCAAUGGACGAAAGUCUGACCGAGCAACGCCGCGGGAGUGAAGAAGGUUUUCGGAUCGUAAAACUCUGUUGGUAGAGAAGAACGUUGGUGAGAGUGGAAAGCUCAUCAAGUGACGGUAACUACCCAGAAAGGGACGGCUAACUACGUG